ACUCCUACGGGAGGCAGCAGUGGGGAAUAUUGCACAAUGGGGGAAACCCUGAUGCAGCCAUGCCGCGUGUGUGAAGAAGGCCUUCGGGUUGUAAAGCACUUUCAGUAGGGAGGAAGGUAGUGUAGUUAACACCUGCACUAUUUGACGUUACCUACAGAAGAAGCACCGGCUAACUCCGUGCCAGCAGCCGCGGUAAUACGGAGGGUGCGAGCGUUAAUCGGAAUUACUGGGCGUAAAGCGCAUGCAGGCGGCCUGUUAAGUCAGAUGUGAAAGCCCGGGGCUUAACCUCGGAAUUGCAUUUGAAACUGGCAGGCUAGAGUUUUGUAGAGGGGGGUAGAAUUUCAGGUGUAGCGGUGAAAUGCGUAGAGAUCUGAAGGAAUACCAGUGGCGAAGGCGGCCCCCUGGACAAAGACUGACGCUCAGAUGCGAAAGCGUGGGGAGCAAACAGGAUUAGAUA
Molecule: ribosomal RNA, 457 nt
Filed under: uncultured bacterium
Lineage: Bacteria
Description: bacterial SSU rRNA
Rfam family: Bacterial small subunit ribosomal RNA
Source: RNAcentral